Molecule: ribosomal RNA, 379 nt
Filed under: uncultured bacterium
Lineage: Bacteria
Description: bacterial SSU rRNA
Rfam family: Bacterial small subunit ribosomal RNA
Source: RNAcentral
GACGAACGCUGGCGGCGUGCUUAACACAUGCAAGUCGAGCGAGGAGCUUGCUCCUAGCGGCGAACGGGUGAGUAACACGUGGGCAACCUGCCCCUGGCUCUGGGAUAACUCCGGGAAACCGGGGCUAAUACCGGAUAUGACUGUCGAGGACAUCCUCUGAUAGUGGAAAGAAUUUCGGCCAGGGAUGGGCCCGCGGCCUAUCAGCUUGUUGGUGAGGUAAUGGCCCACCAAGGCGACGACGGGUAGCCGGCCUGAGAGGGCGACCGGCCACACUGGGACUGAGACACGGCCCAGACUCCUACGGGAGGCAGCAGUGGGGAAUAUUGCGCAAUGGGCGAAAGCCUGACGCAGCGACGCCGCGUGAGGGAUGAAGGCCUUC